AUUGAACGCUGGCGGCAUGCUUUACACAUGCAAGUCGAACGGCAGCGCGGGGCAACCUGGCGGCGAGUGGCGAACGGGUGAGUAAUAUAUCGGAACGUACCCUGGAGUGGGGGAUAACGUAGCGAAAGUUACGCUAAUACCGCAUACGAUCUAAGGAUGAAAGUGGGGGAUCGCAAGACCUCAUGCUCCUGGAGCGGCCG
RNAcentral lists this ribosomal RNA (200 nucleotides) under uncultured bacterium. Its description in RNAcentral is "partial 16S ribosomal RNA". It matches the Rfam family "Bacterial small subunit ribosomal RNA", at positions 30 to 232 of the family's 1533-position model. The record is from RNAcentral.